This 754-nucleotide ribosomal RNA is filed under the name uncultured organism. Its description in RNAcentral is "bacterial SSU rRNA". It matches the Rfam family "Bacterial small subunit ribosomal RNA", at positions 33 to 829 of the family's 1533-position model. The record is from RNAcentral.
ACGCUGGCGGCGUGCCUAAUACAUGCAAGUCGAGCGAUGAGGCUCCUUCGGGAGUACAUCAGCGGCGAACGGGUGAGUAACACGUAGGUGACUUGCCCCGAAGAUGGGGAUAACCUCUGGAAACGGGGGCUAAUACCCAAUGUGCUCGGUGAUCGGUUGAUCGAGUAAAGCUCCGGCGCUUCGGGAGAGGCCUGCGGCCAUCAGCUAUCGUAGGUAACGGCUACCAAGCAAACGGUAGGGGCGUGAGAGCGCGGACCCCCAACUGGCACUGCGACACGGGCCAACUCCUACGGGAGGCAGAUAAGAAUAUGCGCAAUGGACGAAAGUCAGACGCAGCGACGCCGCGUGGGCGAUGAAGCCUUCGGGUUGUAAAGCCCUUUUAUGGGGGAAGAGGAAAAAGCGACGGUACCCCAUGAAAUAAGUCCCGGCUACUACGUUGGCCAGCAGCCGCCGGGGGGUAAAACGUAGGGACAAGCGUUAUCCGGAUUCACUGGGCGUAAAGAGCGUUGAGGCGGUUCCGUAAGUGGGCGUGAAGCUCCGGGCUUACCGAAAUGUCGCAAUACUGGGGGUUGAGACAGAGAGGAAGGUGGAAUUCCCGGGUGUAGUGGUGAAAUGCGUAGAUAUCGGGAGGAACACCCGGUGGCGAAAGGCCGGGCUUCUGGGCUGUUCCUGACCUGAAGGCGAAGCUAGGGAGCGAACGGGAUUAGAUACCCGGUAGUCCUAGCUGUAAACGAUGGAUGCUGGGUGUGGGGGG